GGUAUUCAGCAUGCCCAUGCUGAGGGUGACGGGUUCGAUUCCCGGUCGGUUCAGGAACCUUUCAUAUUGGAAAUCGGUUAACCACUCUCCAGAGCGAAAGACACAACAUCGAAAUAUAUCCCGUGUGACUCGCGUUUGAGAACCACUGUUGAUAGCAAAGCAUUUUAACCCACUAUCCAUUUUGAUACACCCCGAUCGCGCCGUCGUUUGUUUGAGGUCCCUAUUAUGUUCGGUAGAUGAGUAGUUCGAUGCAAUGUCAUCUUCUGUCCAGUAGUCCGUCCGUCUUUGUCUUUUUUUUUGUCACUGUGUUACUCUUUGCUUUCUGUUCGGUGUCCCAAAAUAUGUUAAAAGACCGCGAACAUCAACGAUUCUUUGUCUUAAAUCUUAAUUUGUUUAAACUCCAAAGUGAACGUCCAUACUAAUUAAAACUUGUUCAAGCCGAACUGUAUCAGCCUCAAGGUGUUCAAUCUCAUCCUAUUGUUCUUCCAUCAUCCUACAUCAAAACUGAUCUUCUGCGACACGAUACACAAAACACAUCAUGGAUGACAUGAAUCCUCGUCAAGUUUUUCGUCGACAACUGCACGCGCAUCUGAGCAGCAUUCCAGGAGUACGAUCGAUCCUGCAACUAUACGUGUGUUGGUGUACAGGAGUCCCUUUGAUGGUUGCUCGGUUACUAGUAGCUCCAGCGAUCGACCCGAUGGAAUAUAUAGUCGCUGCCAAUGUUAUUGCCAAGGAUAUAUUCAACGUUGAGAAGUGUGAUGUAACAAUACAAAUACUACAAGACUCAUAAAACGCUGGCUUUUGACGUGAUGGCUGUAUCGUUGAAAUAUUGUCAUAAGGAUACUAAUGUUUAAAAAAAUAA
Molecule: long non-coding RNA, 862 nt
Organism: Aedes albopictus (Asian tiger mosquito)
Lineage: Eukaryota; Metazoa; Arthropoda; Insecta; Diptera; Culicidae
Exons: 4
Source: RefSeq, a predicted model, not a curated record